Molecule: ribosomal RNA, 497 nt
Filed under: uncultured bacterium
Lineage: Bacteria
Description: partial 16S ribosomal RNA
Rfam family: Bacterial small subunit ribosomal RNA
Source: RNAcentral
GAUGAACGCUGGCGGCGUGCCUAAUACAUGCAAGUCGAGCGAACGGACGAGAAGCUUGCUUCUCUGAUGUUAGCGGCGGACGGGUGAGUAACACGUGGAUAACCUACCUAUAAGACUGGGAUAACUUCGGGAAACCGGAGCUAAUACCGGAUAAUAUUUUGAACCGCAUGGUUCAAAAGUAAAAGACGGUCUUGCUGUCACUUAUAGAUGGAUCCGCGCUGCAUUAGCUAGUUGGUAAGGUAACGGCUUACCAAGGCAACAAUGCAUAGCCGACCUGAGAGGGUGAUCGGCCACACUGGAACUGAGACACGGUCCAGACUCCUACGGGAGGCAGCGGUAGGGAAUCUUCCGCAAUGGGCGAAAGCCUGACGGAGCAACGCCGCGUGAGUGAUGAAGGUCUUCGGAUCGUAAAACUCUGUUAUUAGGGAAGAACAUAUGUGUAAGUAACUGUGCACAUCUUGACGGUACCUAAUCAGAAAGCCACGGCUAACUACGUG